RNAcentral lists this ribosomal RNA (595 nucleotides) under uncultured Pseudozyma. Its description in RNAcentral is "eukaryotic LSU rRNA". It matches the Rfam family "Eukaryotic large subunit ribosomal RNA", at positions 65 to 635 of the family's 3401-position model. The record is from RNAcentral. Lineage: Eukaryota; Fungi; Basidiomycota; Ustilaginomycetes; Ustilaginales; Ustilaginaceae.
GCAACGGGGCAUGCCCCUAGCUACGGCGAGUGAGGAGAGCGUAGAGAUGCCCAAGAUUGAAAGCUGGCGUCUUCGGCGUCCGCAUUGUAAUCUCAAGAAGUGUUUUCCGCUUCGGACCAAGCCUAAGUCCCCUGGAAAGGGGCAUCAUAGAGGGUGAUAAUCCCGUACAUGGCUUGGAGCGCCCGAGGCUUUGUGAUACGCUUUCUAAGAGUCGAGUUGUUUGGGAAUGCAGCUCAAAAUGGGUGGUAAAUGCCAUCUAAGGCUAAAUAUUGGGGAGAGACCGAUAGCGAACGAGUACAGUGAUGGAAAGAUGAAAAGAACUUUGAAAAGAGAGUUAAACAGUACGUGAAAUUGCCAAAAGGGAAGGGUAGGAGGUCAGAGAUGCGGCCUGGGAUUCAGCCUUGCUUUUGCUUGGUGUUUUUCCCAGAUUGCAGGCCAACGUCGGUUUUGGGCACUGGAGAAGGGUAGGAGGAACGUGGCACCCCUCGGGGUGUGUUAUAGCCUCCUACUGGAUACAGCGACCGAGACCGAGGACAGCAGCGUACUCGCAAGAGCGGGCCUUCGGGCACCUUUACGCUUAGGGCGUUGGCAUAAU